Long non-coding RNA from Panicum hallii, 1944 nucleotides. RefSeq lists it as uncharacterized. Lineage: Eukaryota; Viridiplantae; Streptophyta; Magnoliopsida; Poales; Poaceae. The transcript is spliced from 2 exons. The record is from RefSeq and is a predicted model, not a curated record.
ACCAGCAGCAGGCAGCAGACCUCCAAAGACCCGCCUACAAAUUGGAUGCAAUAUCGAAGAUGCAGUCACCAUUUGCUCAGUGGAGCAGGGUGUACAAGAGGGGAAACGGUAGGAGAGGGGAGGGGGCAUAUCCGGGCGGGCACGGUGUGGAUCUGGCCCGCGCCGGCCUGUAACCGUAGCUCUCUACUUUUCUUCGAGUUGAGGGAGGAAAAACCUAUGGAAGAAAGGACUCGUGGGAGGAGGCCCCGCCGCCGCCGUCCUUGAACCUAGGCGGACUUACCGCACGGGGGCUCUAUGGUAGCGCCGCAGAGGCGAGGUGGAGUGAGGGAGGGGAAGGGGCGGAGCGAGCCGUUUUCCAUGGUGGCCAUUGUUGCGGGUGCAUAUCUGGGUAUCGCACCCAUUGGCAGAGAGGAGGCGGACCAUGUUACGACAGUUCGGAGGCAGUGUUGGAUUGCAGCACGAAGAAGCACUUUAAUUUGGAGGCGCACAAACCUUCUAGAUUAGUUUGUAGUUCGUGCUCGUGUCGUGCCUAGGAAUUAUGCGCGGCUGGUGAAGUAUAUACUCACCACUCUCCAUGAGUUUCCAUCUAGUAUCAUACGGAGUGCUUGGUAGUAGCUGUACUUGUUAUACUAUUAUAUCCACAUCCUUUGACCUUUGACCUUAAAACCAACCUGCAUGCUAGAAGAAAGUUUUUGCAUGUACUUGAGAGCCUACUCAUGCAUGCUUUGUGAUCUUCUUUCCACUCUUGCCAAUACCCAGCAGAAUUAUACUGGUCUCGUGAAGAUGCCCGAGUGCGGGGGAGGGCAGGAGGCCAGUUCCUCCUCAAAGGCCAUCUUGUGGUGCGCCUCUUUUUUACACUAUUCAUGCUUAUAGUGUAAUAUACCGCAGGAUGUACUUAUAGUGCCACUACAUUUGCCCUAAUAAGGCGUAGGCGAGGGAGCUAGAAUUCCAAACAGCCCUAACCCACAAGUGAGACCUAGCUAGCAUAUAGAACUCGCCAUCAUCAAUUAGCAUCACUCCCCAUGCGAUGCCCGCGCUAGAAGAAUUGGAAGCGGUGAACGUUCUUGCCCCGGUGCCAACUCCUUAAAAAAUUAUUGUUGCGCUCUGGCUUCCUUCCCCAACUUCUUUGCCUGAGCAGGAGGCGUGGUACCUUUGUACAGGUUACGAGCUCAGCUAGUGAAGCCUGCACAUAGCAGCUGUCAAGGAGCGAAGCUAAUUUUCUAUGGUGGGACCUGAUCUUUUUUCAAGCUUCACUCCACGAUGUGGAGGGCCUCAUUGGUGAGCAAGACCAGACCCGGCCCCCAAUCAACCCUACCAUAAUUUGGGAACCAAAUCUUUCAGCGAUCAACAUUUCUAACCUCUCACAAUCGCUUAUGCAUGCAUCAUGCGCCUCGAGUAUAAUAGUCCCUGUCGCCAUACUUAUAGCGGGCGCCUUCAUCCUGCUUUCUCCAUACACGACGCGGUGUGUGUGCACGCGCUUAAUUAAUAUAAAACCCCAAUAAUCAGGUGGCUCCCUCCUCCUUGAUUGCGUUUCCAUGGCAAGCAAGUUGAUGACAGCUGACAAGGAUCGAUGAGCCUCUGGACAGAAAGGUGUAACGGCCAACGGACGACAAAGGGGAUGGGGCUCGGGACCUGCCUAGGAAUCCGUCGAGGACGACGACGUACGGGCAAUAGGACCGCGCGCGCCCCGACCCGCCCCCCGCUUCCGCCGGGCUGCUGCCUGCCCCGCGCAUGGCAGCGACGCCAGCCGGCCGUCGUCGGACCAACCGCCAACGCCCGGCUCAGUGGCGCGCCCGUACGUGCGGUGCGACGUCGCUGGCCGGCCGGGGCCGGGGCUGUCGACCUAGCUCGAUCGGACGUCGGAGCCAUGCGUUAUUACGUCACAUUCCGGGCGGCGUCGACGGCAACGCGUCCCGGCCGGCCGCGCCCUGCCGUUGCUCGCUC